Amphiprion ocellaris (clown anemonefish) is the source of this 2228-nucleotide long non-coding RNA. Lineage: Eukaryota; Metazoa; Chordata; Actinopteri; Pomacentridae. The record is from Ensembl.
GUUUUUAUGGUAUGGCAGGGCUCUGUGUUCUGCUGUUGCCAUGGUGUACUUGGUCUGCAACCAUGUUUAGGUUUGUGGUAUUUAUCAAAAUAACAUCCACAUGAAUUCCAGAACCCAAGGUUUCCAACAGAGCAUUGCAUUUUAACAAGAUGAUCAGUGUAAUUCUCUUCCCUUGUCAGUGGUUAGAAUGCUGUGGCUGAUCAGUGUGCAGGCUGUUUACUGUUGGCCAUUUUCCAGAGCAUACCUUGUGUAAUAGUGAUCAGUGAAUCCUUCACUGUAAAGAUCUAAAAUACUGCUCAUUGUGUCAAUAUUUGCCCUUUGGGUUUAAGUAAUGUGAGCCACUAGUUAAAUAUAGACUCCAGUGUCACUCUGACGGGUAACAACUUCAGAGUGUUCCACCAGUAAAUCACAACUUGGGUCUGAUUGGGUAAAUAAAAGCCACAUAUCAGAAUUUAUUAAUUUCCUAAAAUGCAACUUGGCUUGAUUGACAGAUUUAUACAGAUUUGAGGGUGUUAGACUAAUAAUGGCAAUUGGUGAGUUUAUGUGUAUUUCAAGUCUUUGCAACUUGAUGUCCAUGCUAUAAACAACAGUGGGGAACCAAUUGCUGCCUGGAACAGAAGAACUCAUCCAGGGUGUUACCUUCACGGGGAGACUACACACAAUAGUAAGUGUGAUCGAUUCAUGUACAGCAAAGGCAGUCGUACUUGACAGACACCUAUGCAUUUGCUAGUUAUUACUGACAGUUUGUUAAGCAAAAAUGUCUGUUAGGCUCAAAAUCAAACCUCAGUUAACAAAACUACAAAUUGAAUUUUUUUUUUUUAAACCUCUUGCGUGCGGCCAAAAAUUCCUCUAUUCAGGAAAAAGACCCUUGCAUUUAAACACUGGUUUGCUUUGGAAAAUUGUCAAAAGCAUCCAAGAACCUGUAGCGUCCUUUACAAAACUGUGGUCCUCAAUAGAACCAUUUACCUGCUUCCAUCCCAUCUCAGCAGGUCUUCUUUUACGACUCCCUUAUGCACAGUAUUGUCUUGUCCGGCUUACGUCAGGUUCUUUUUCAUCUCAGCUCGUAAUGAGAUUACCAACCACACUGUUUUGUCUUUGUCCUUUUUCUGGAAAAGCCUGUGCACUGUUACAUAAGUCAAGUCUCCUAUGGAUUCUUGCCCAAGUCUUUUAUUUUUCUUUAGAGAAGUCAAACUGACAUAACUUGCUAUUUUUUGGCAACAAGUAUGAGUCCUGUGAGUACUGACAUAGAACUGACAAGCGUACAGUAGGUAGCCUAUCAUUGUGUUCACGAUUCUUGUCAUAUGCAAAUCUAUUACACUAGUAGUGUGAAGUUACUUUAAAUAAAUGGGCAAGGAAUUUGGAUGUUAGGUCUAAAGUUUGUGAAAUCUUUGGCUGGUAAAAGGAUCACCGUGUUGUGUGAAGAUUUAACGUCAAAAAAAGAAGGUGAAAAUGAUCACUACUGCAUCCUCAUGAAUAUUCAUUUUGGCCCUGAGGUAUAACUGCCAUGUUAGUUGCAUCACCAAUGCCAACAAAAGUGCCUUCUGUUUGAUCACUAGGCCUUGAGCCAAAGACAAGCAACAGUAAUAGCCUUGUAAAAUGAAGAAUGGUAACUGCAACAGGCACUUCUGCUUGCCUUCCUUAACAUGUAAUCUGACAAAUUCGUAAAAAAAACCCAAAGAUUUGAUGUCCAGUAUCAGUGCAAAAAUCCAUUCAGAAAUUGCCAGAUAAAAUGCCCUAUCAAAUCAAUGGCCGUUCCUUUUUUCCCUUCCUAAACUCCACUAUUAAUCAUCAUCUUUCUCUUGUCUAGUUUCUUAGCUACACUCUGUGCAAAUGAUAAGAUUGUAAUGUUCUUUUUUUUCAUCAUUAAUUAUGUCGUUUAGCUGUAUAGACUGUUAACAUUCUGGGUUAUUUUAGUAAAAAAAAAAAGUUGAGGGGUUGGAGGGCUAGGAAUCCAUGUGUCAGCAUAAAAUGUUUAUUAAAUUUUUUUGUGGAGGAAAACUUACUGGGUUUGCUUCUGUAUUGCCAAAUAUGUUUUAAAAUGCUGUAUUUUCUUACAUGGAAAAGUGUUACACGAAUGGUAGGAGGGUGCGGAGAAAAUAAUCUGUUUAAAUCCAACUUACCUUAAGGGAAAACUGUGGAAAAGGUUGACAUGAGAACAUUUUUAAUUGUGUCAUUGUCAUGUGGAAAUGGUCUACCAUUAAAACAUUCCCUCUGAAAUCUUCUGUCAC